Molecule: long non-coding RNA, 2935 nt
Organism: Micropterus dolomieu (smallmouth bass)
Lineage: Eukaryota; Metazoa; Chordata; Actinopteri; Centrarchiformes; Centrarchidae
Exons: 3
Source: RefSeq, a predicted model, not a curated record
UUGUAAAAACAGUCUCUUAACGGAGUUCACCAUGACCGGAAGGAGGGGAAACACCUAGCUUCCGCCUUAAAAUGUGCCAAAACCUGCAUAGUUUACAGUACAUGUUGCGCCUCGUCAGCUAGCAAGCUACCCAGGCAGCAACACAUCCACCAGUCAUUUAUAUUUGGUCCAAUGAUUAUUUUUGUUAUUCAGUAAUCUGACAAUUCCUCAAUGAAGUUACUAUUUGUUUACUUUAUGUAACAAAAAGCGGCCUUCACAACAAGGUGACGUCUAGUUUUGUCCAACCAAAAACUUUAAGAUAUUCAGCUGCUUUUCUUUGCUUUAUAUCAUAUAUAUGAAUUGUUCCUCAGUGGAUGUUCUGGAUUGAUUCUGGCUCUAUCAAAGUCAGUCUACUUACUGAAACACAAAGAAACCGAGGGAAAGAAACCAUUUGUAACACCUAAAAUCUCCUGAAAUGAGCACCUGAGCUCUUAAUAAAACUGGCAACUUGGUGCACAUUUCACACACAGACCUUGAUGGCGAUGGCGCCCCCCUGUGGGGAGCGUUUGCAGGGAUACGGCCGGCGUGUCCUCCUGGACCAACCACGGAAACGCUUCCUGGACUUCUUCUGGCUCUUUGCUCCACCGUUCAGCGCCUCAUCCACCUUAAAUCCAUGAAUUACAUUUAUUUAUACGGUCGAGCUGCUCUAAAGAGGCACAACCAUCACUGUGACUUCAACAUCACAAAGACUAAAACGGCUUUUACCUUCCCACUCUGGUAGAGGUAGUACCACUUCAGGUUGCUGUUCUUGCAGGCGUAGCGCGUGUCUCCGAACCAGUUGACGAUGUACGUCCUCGGCAGACCGCUGUCCUCCGCCAUCUGGUCGUACUCUUCGGGUGUUGGCCACUGUGUGCGGACGAAGGCCUUCUUCAGGAUGUGAAGCUGCUCUGGCGUCUUUUUGAGCGUCCUCCUGCCGGCGGGUGGCGUGGUCUGCCUCUCCUGACUUGAGGACGAAGGCACAGCUGGUUUCCCCCUCUCGCCGUCCCCCUCCACGUCAUCGUCAUUUGACAGCGUCCCCGAAGGCAUUUUCCGCCUCUCAGUGAACCAAGCGUCCACCUCACGUCGCGUCAGCUUCGUCUCCGCACGCAGCCGGCUCAGCUCCUCGUCCGAGGGCGUGUCUGAUUUCUGGAAGCUGGCCUCCAGGAUGAACAGCUGCUCCGGAGUCUUUUCCUUAAACUUCUGUGGCGUGAAGUCGGGGAAGGCGUGGCGGAAUUUGAUCCGUGGGUCGCUGGGGGAGCCGAACGACACCGGGACGUUGGCAGAAGUCGGAGAGGAAUCGCUGGCGUCGUCACUGGAGUCGAUGACGAUAGUGGCGUUGUUUUCGCUGUUAUUGCUGUCGUUAAGGCUGCCGCUGCUGUUCCUUCCUCCCCGGCUUCCUCCCGGCGUCGCCGCCCUGCUGGACGCGGUUUCGCUCAGCAGAACGCCGUGGUGAUCCUUCGAGUUUCUCUGGUUGUACCGCGUGUCGCUGAACCACUUCUUUAUUGCUCGUUUGGAGAGUUUGGUGACCUGCAUGAGUCGCGAUAUCUCCGCCUCUGUGGCGAACUGUCUCCUGCCGUAGCUCGCCUUCAGCUCCGCCAGCUGCUCUUUGGACUUCUUCGGUUUGGUUGCCGACGCGUCCAAACUGAACGCCGCGCUGGCCGACAUCUCAGUCUUUGAUUCUGACGUCGACGGUUCGGCGGCUUUGGGCUGGUUGCCGGGGACACCUGCGACGGUCAGGGUGAUGGGAGAGGCGACCGGCAUGGUGCCGCCAUUACCGGCCACCUGAGUGAGGACGAGGCCCGGCUGACCGACGAUUUGGCAGGUCUGGAAGAUGGACUGCAGGCCGUUGGUUGCUGCGGCGAUGUUGGCGGGUAUGACGGUGAUGGUCUGGGGGACGGUCUGCACCGUGCCGUUAAACUUCUUCCUCCUCGCCUCCUCCACCUGCAGAGGAAAGCAACAAAGAGCAGACUGUUGAGCUUUAAAUAACAGGACAGAAGUGCUGGACGGUUUCUGGAAAAGGAAAUAAAGUCUGUUGCUAUGAACUCUAACGUAAUAAAGUGAGAGUGAAGUUAAUCGUUAAGGACUUCUUGUACGUGCUGGCUGCUAACGAAGACCGUGUGAUAUGACGGAAAGCUGCAGAAUGGCGACUUAAUGUUCUUUGAGCAUCUUGUGAAGCACAGACCUCCUCCGGCGUCCAGCUGACUCCGUGUUUCAGCCUCUGAGCAGAAAACCAGACCUUGAUCUGCUCCUCGCUGAACUUCGUCUGCGAAGACAAGCCCAUGAUCUCGGACACCGAGGGAUACGGAAACCUGCGACACAAAUCAGAGUUAGCGUCUAACAGGAGGCCGACAGAACCUGAGCCAGCGUCCCAGGAGGCAGCAUGGCGCCGCCGCCCGAGCCGCCUUUGAUCUGCAGCACGUUGGGGCUGUUGACCACGAUGCUCUGCGGGACGGCCUGGACCUGCAGCGGCGUGGAGACGGGGACGAGGCGAGGGGCGGCUGCGGCGGGUGUCAUCGGGGCGGGAGACAGCGUGGGCGGCUCCUUGUUCUCGUCGUCCUCGUCGUCGCUUUCCACUUUGAUGACGUCGUCGACGGCCAGUUUGUGCGAGGCGGUGAACUUCUUGGGAUCCGGUCUGCUCUUGAUCCUCAUGAUGGGCGUCUUGCUGAGGGCGAUGCCUUUGCGGGACGUCUCCUCGGCCUCGUCGUCCUCCACUUUGACAAAGCUGCCGUCGAAGGUGAGGUCGUUGACCGUCUGCUGGAAGAUGGUCUCGUUGUUUCGCUUCACCAUCGUCCGUGUGAAGUUGUCCUCGCCCGGGUGGAGGCGAGCGUUGUGGGCCAGCAGAGUGUCAUAACUAGAGGGGGAGAAACGCAGGUCAGUUAGGUUUGGUUUAUUUAAUGGGAUUAAAUAAAUAACUUGA